RNAcentral lists this non-coding RNA (31 nucleotides) under Rattus norvegicus (Norway rat). Lineage: Eukaryota; Metazoa; Chordata; Mammalia; Rodentia; Muridae. The record is from RNAcentral.
UCCAAGGUUGGGUCCUCAUUCUUACUUCAGU